UUUGUGGCAGACGGGUGAGUAAUGCAUAGGAAUCUACCUGGUAGUAUGGGAUAGCCACUAGAAAUGGUGGGUAAUACUGUAUAAUCCCUGCGGGGGAAAGAUUUAUCGCUAUUAGAUGAGCCUAUGUUAGAUUAGCUAGUUGGUAGGGUAAAGGCCUACCAAGGCAGUGAUCUAUAGCUGGUCUGAGAGGAUGAUCAGCCACACUGGAACUGAGAUACGGUCCAGACUCCUACGGGAGGCAGCAGUGGGGAAUAUUGGACAAUGGGCGCAAGCCUGAUCCAGCUAUGCCGCGUGAGUGAGGAAGGGCUCACGGUUUU
RNAcentral lists this ribosomal RNA (317 nucleotides) under Anaplasma platys. RNAcentral's name for it is "bacterial SSU rRNA". It matches the Rfam family "Bacterial small subunit ribosomal RNA", at positions 92 to 426 of the family's 1533-position model. The record is from RNAcentral. Lineage: Bacteria; Pseudomonadati; Pseudomonadota; Alphaproteobacteria; Rickettsiales; Anaplasmataceae.